Molecule: long non-coding RNA, 688 nt
Organism: Saccostrea cuccullata (small rock oyster)
Lineage: Eukaryota; Metazoa; Mollusca; Bivalvia; Ostreida; Ostreidae
Exons: 3
Source: RefSeq, a predicted model, not a curated record
GUUUGAAAUAUGACAGACAAAAGGAGAAAUAUCAUUGAAUCUUGACCCUUAUAAUUAAGUGAUGGCAUUGGAGCCAUGCAGAAGCAAUGCCCCACCUAUUGAGUAAUGAUGUUUAUUUAGGUGUGUUGAGCAUGUUUGUUACGACUGUCAUAUUGUCUCCGUUUUUUGUAUGACUGAAUCUCACAUGUACUUAAAUGGUGCUCAAUGUUCAGAAAUAUUGGAUAAAUGUAUAUAAUGAUUUAAAAUACCAGUAUUGAUCUUUCAAUCUUUAUAGGACCUAGAUUUGGAAACAGUCAUAUCAAUCCAAGUCCAGAGAAUUAUCCUGAUAGCUGGCCAGGAAAGUGAAAGACUAGAUUAAGGUGAUCUGACACACAGAUUUAGACACAUCGGUCAUUUGUCCAGUAGAACAGAUCAGGUGCUAAUGAUGUCUGCUGCAUAUUCAGCUGGGGCUCAUCAGAACUUUCUUUGGGGACUCUGUGACACCUGAGGUGACCAUAUUUCUCACCUGUCUGGAACUCAGAGGGAACUGAGAUCAACUUACCUGGGCUCUGUAUGUACAGAUUUACUGAGCAGUUUGCUGUGACAUUUUGGUAUUAUAUGAGACAAGAAGACCUAGGAUCAUAGACAAUUUAAAACAACUGGAUAGCUUGCUGGAUUUUUUGUGUCCCUAUUAUUGUAGCGGAAUCAG